This is a non-coding RNA of Rattus norvegicus (Norway rat), 491 nucleotides long. The record is from RefSeq and is a predicted model, not a curated record. NCBI's taxonomy places the organism in Eukaryota, Metazoa, Chordata, Mammalia, Rodentia, Muridae.
GGAGAUGGGGCUUGGAUGCCAACAUGGGAUGGAACUGAACACUGACUUAUCGUAGUUGACAAUCGAGAGGAAUGCUUUCGUAGUUACAGCAGUUGGUGUGUGCUAAGAGGAAUGGUUCCUAAACUUCCCUAUGUUGAGAUUCGCAUCCUUGCUUUAAGUAUGAAUCCAAGUGGUUCUUCAUAACUAGGCCCAGGAUUGUGGCUCAGCCGCUGUGAACUUGACACAAGGACAGACAACAUCAAAGCACAAGAUUCAUGUGAGGAUGACGUCCUGCUCUAGAGAUGGUCUUCUGGAUAUUUCCCAAGGCUCAGUGUUUGUAUCCUUCAGACCCCUCCUCCUUCCCUCUUCACUCCCUUCCUGGAGCAUUAUUUGCAUGCAUGUUGGUCUGAAGACAUAAGCAGCCAUGCUACCAUCCAGCCUUCUUAGUAUUCAGAUGUAAACCCAUGGCAGUUGUGCAUUUGUUAAUGUUACAGAAUGCUCAUUAUGUCAAA